This 235-nucleotide ribosomal RNA is filed under the name uncultured bacterium. RNAcentral's name for it is "partial 16S ribosomal RNA". It matches the Rfam family "Bacterial small subunit ribosomal RNA", at positions 14 to 236 of the family's 1533-position model. The record is from RNAcentral.
GUAUCAUGGCUCAGGAUGAACGCUAGCUACAGGCUUAACACAUGCAAGUCGAGGGGAAACGGACAUCGAAAGCUUGCUUUUGUAUGGGCGUCGACCGGCGCACGGGUGAGUAACGCGUAUCCAACCUGCCCAUCACUUGGGAAUAACCUUGCGAAAGUAAGACUAAUGCCCAAUGACAUCCCACGAAGGCAUCCGAAUGGGAUUAAAGAUUUAUCGGUGAUGGAUGGGGAUGCGU